This 63-nucleotide transfer RNA is filed under the name Hydrochus sp. BMNH1425167. RNAcentral's name for it is "tRNA-Cys". The record is from RNAcentral. Lineage: Eukaryota; Metazoa; Arthropoda; Insecta; Coleoptera; Hydrochidae.
AGUCUUAUAUUCAAUUAUGAUUUUAAAUUGCAAAUUUAAAGGUGAAGAUAUCUUCUAGGACUU